UGGGCGAAAGCCUGAUCCAGCAAUGCCGCGUGCAGGAUGAAGGCCCUCGGGUUGUAAACUGCUUUUGUACGGAACGAAAAGCCUGGGGCUAAUAUCCCCGGGUCAUGACGGUACCGUAAGAAUAAGCACCGGCUAACUACGUGCCAGCAGCCGCGGUAAUACGUAGGGUGCAAGCGUUAAUCGGAAUUACUGGGCGUAAAGCGUGCGCAGGCGGUUUUGUAAGACAGUGGUGAAAUCCCCGGGCUCAACCUGGGAACUGCCAUUGUGACUGCAAGGCUAGAGUGCGGCAGAGGGGGAUGGAAUUCCGCGUGUAGCAGUGAAAUGCGUAGAUAUGCGGAGGAACACCGAUGGCGAAGGCAAUCCCCUGGGCCUGCACUGACGCUCAUGCACGAAAGCGUGGGGAGCAAACAGGAUUAGAUACCCUGGUAGUCCACGCCCUAAACGAUGUCAACUGGUUGUUGGGUCUUAACUGACUCAGUAACGAAGCUAACGCGUGAAGUUGACCGCCUGGGGAG
RNAcentral lists this ribosomal RNA (515 nucleotides) under uncultured bacterium. RNAcentral describes it as "bacterial SSU rRNA". It matches the Rfam family "Bacterial small subunit ribosomal RNA", at positions 372 to 880 of the family's 1533-position model. The record is from RNAcentral.